This 208-nucleotide unclassified non-coding RNA is filed under the name Hevea brasiliensis (rubber tree). Lineage: Eukaryota; Viridiplantae; Streptophyta; Magnoliopsida; Malpighiales; Euphorbiaceae. The record is from RNAcentral.
ACUCAAAUUACAAAACAUGUGCUAAAAUAUUCGUCUACUAUUGGGUUAUAUGGCAAUUGUGUUACUUAUUUUGAUUCAUGUUCUCAUCUAUGAUAUGUUACUUCUGAGUCUAAAUAUUGGCUUCCCUCAGAAAAUAGCUCGGAAAUGAAGAUGUUGGUGGUUGAUCUAAUCAACUGUGCAGUAACAAUGACAAUUGAACAUGAACUCA